This 253-nucleotide ribosomal RNA is filed under the name uncultured bacterium. RNAcentral's name for it is "partial 16S ribosomal RNA". It matches the Rfam family "Bacterial small subunit ribosomal RNA", at positions 524 to 776 of the family's 1533-position model. The record is from RNAcentral.
UACAGAGGUCUCAAGCGUUGUUCGGAUUCAUUGGGCGUAAAGGGUGCGUAGGCGGCGCGGUAAGUCGGGUGUGAAAUCUCGGAGCUUAGCUCCGAAACUGCAUUCGAUACUGCCGUGCUUGAGGACUGGAGAGGAGACUGGAAUUUACGGUGUAGCGGUGAAAUGCGUAGAUAUCGAGAGGAACACCUGCGGCGAAGGCGGGUUGCUGGGCUGACACUGACGCUGAAGCGCGAAAGCUAGGGGAGCGAACGGG